UUGGACCUGAUAUCAGACAAGAUUACCCGCUGACUAGCUAUAUCU
Molecule: ribosomal RNA, 45 nt
Filed under: Phytopythium sp. HSR-2011
Lineage: Eukaryota; Oomycota; Peronosporomycetes; Pythiales; Pythiaceae
Description: partial 28S ribosomal RNA
Source: RNAcentral